Dermacentor albipictus is the source of this 324-nucleotide non-coding RNA. The record is from RefSeq and is a predicted model, not a curated record. NCBI's taxonomy places the organism in Eukaryota, Metazoa, Arthropoda, Arachnida, Ixodida, Ixodidae.
GCUGGACCUGCUCUCUCUGGGAUUGUCCGCGUGACAUUUUUGUUCUGAGGAAAUGACAACAUAUUCUUCCAUAAACAUGUACUCACAUAGACCAGAGAUGAACAGAAACAUCAAAAUUUCAACAUGGAGAAGUGCAUCUUACAUUUUUUACGAACAUGUACUUUUCCGGAUAAAUGAAAUGGGAACAAGCUAAAGCUGACGCCGUCCGGUGGAGCUUCGUACAGGAAAUACUGUUGCUUAACUGGUGCCACGUUGGAUAAAAUGCACAAAAAGCGCGGAAUGAGCACUCAUAUAGAUCCAAAUAAACAUUUUCUCAUUUGACAA